Molecule: long non-coding RNA, 403 nt
Organism: Gallus gallus (chicken)
Lineage: Eukaryota; Metazoa; Chordata; Aves; Galliformes; Phasianidae
Source: Ensembl
CCCUCUUGGAGCCUUUUAUUCUCCAUGCUGAACAGCCAUAGCUCUCUCACCCUGUCCUCGCAGGGCAAGUGUUCCAUCCCUUGGAUCCAUCCCAUGGACCAACAGGUCUAUGCCUCUCCUGUUCCCAGGACUCCACAUCUGGCCGCAAUACUCCAGGUCAUGUAAUGGAAAAGAAUUCAUUCUCCUCAUUUCCAGACUUUCAUAUAAUGUUGGUGAAAUGAUAAUAAUAAUAAUAAGAAGAAGAAGAACAAGAACAACAACAACAACAAUGUACUAACCUCUGUAAGUGGGCAAAUCAAUAAAUGUUAUUUGUAUUUCUGAGUGUUUAAGUAACAUUGUGUAACUUGCUUCUUUUCUCUUUUUUUUUUUCUUUCUUCCUUUUUUUUUUUUUUUUCCCCCUGCA